RNAcentral lists this ribosomal RNA (907 nucleotides) under Escherichia coli O25b:H4-ST131. RNAcentral's name for it is "partial 23S ribosomal RNA". It matches the Rfam family "Bacterial large subunit ribosomal RNA", at positions 326 to 1238 of the family's 2925-position model. Lineage: Bacteria; Pseudomonadati; Pseudomonadota; Gammaproteobacteria; Enterobacterales; Enterobacteriaceae. The record is from RNAcentral.
GUGUUAGUGGAAGCGUCUGGAAAGGCGCGCGAUACAGGGUGACAGCCCCGUACACAAAAAUGCACAUAUUGUGAGCUCGAUGAGUAGGGCGGGACACGUGGUAUCCUGUCUGAAUAUGGGGGGACCAUCCUCCAAGGCUAAAUACUCCUGACUGACCGAUAGUGAACCAGUACCGUGAGGGAAAGGCGAAAAGAACCCCGGCGAGGGGAGUGAAAAAGAACCUGAAACCGUGUACGUACAAGCAGUGGGAGCCUCUUAAUGGGGUGACUGCGUACCUUUUGUAUAAUGGGUCAGCGACUUAUAUUCUGUAGCAAGGUUAACCGAAUAGGGGAGCCGAAGGGAAACCGAGUCUUAACUGGGCGUUAAGUUGCAGGGUAUAGACCCGAAACCCGGUGAUCUAGCCAUGGGCAGGUUGAAGGUUGGGUAACACUAACUGGAGGACCGAACCGACUAAUGUUGAAAAAUUAGCGGAUGACUUGUGGCUGGGGGUGAAAGGCCAAUCAAACCGGGAGAUAGCUGGUUCUCCCCGAAAGCUAUUUAGGUAGCGCCUCGUGAAUUCAUCUCCGGGGGUAGAGCACUGUUUCGGCAAGGGGGUCAUCCCGACUUACCAACCCGAUGCAAACUGCGAAUACCGGAGAAUGUUAUCACGGGAGACACACGGCGGGUGCUAACGUCCGUCGUGAAGAGGGAAACAACCCAGACCGCCAGCUAAGGUCCCAAAGUCAUGGUUAAGUGGGAAACGAUGUGGGAAGGCCCAGACAGCCAGGAUGUUGGCUUAGAAGCAGCCAUCAUUUAAAGAAAGCGUAAUAGCUCACUGGUCGAGUCGGCCUGCGCGGAAGAUGUAACGGGGCUAAACCAUGCACCGAAGCUGCGGCAGCGACACUAUGUGUUGUUGGGUAGGGGAGCG